GUGGCGGAUCCGAAUGGCCAGGAGCCGGCCUGCAAAGCCGGCGUUCGCGGGUUCGAUUCCCGCCCGCCACUCCA
This 74-nucleotide transfer RNA is filed under the name Myxococcales bacterium. RNAcentral describes it as "tRNA-Cys". It matches the Rfam family "tRNA". From Rfam's summary of the family: Transfer RNA (tRNA) molecules are approximately 80 nucleotides in length. Their secondary structure includes four short double-helical elements and three loops (D, anti-codon, and T loops). Further hydrogen bonds mediate the characteristic L-shaped molecular structure. tRNAs have two regions of fundamental functional importance: the anti-codon, which is responsible for specific mRNA codon recognition, and the 3' end, to which the tRNAs corresponding amino acid is attached (by aminoacyl-tRNA synthetases). tRNAs cope with the degeneracy of the genetic code in two manners: having more than one tRNA (with a specific anti-codon) for a particular amino acid; and 'wobble' base-pairing, i.e. permitting non-standard base-pairing at the 3rd anti-codon position. The record is from RNAcentral. Lineage: Bacteria; Pseudomonadati; Myxococcota; Myxococcia; Myxococcales.